Long non-coding RNA from Onychostoma macrolepis, 1418 nucleotides. RefSeq lists it as uncharacterized. The record is from RefSeq and is a predicted model, not a curated record. Lineage: Eukaryota; Metazoa; Chordata; Actinopteri; Cypriniformes; Cyprinidae. The transcript has 3 exons.
UGAAAGCUCUCGGAUUUAAUUUAAAAUAUCUUAACUUGUGUUCUGAAGAUGAACGAAGGUCUUACGGGUUUGUAACGACAUGAGGGUGAGUAAUUAAUGACAGAAUUUCCAUUUUUAGGUGAACUAUACCUUUAACUUCCCUAAGCAGUGCGCAUCUACCAAGGAGUCUUUAUAUACUUGAUAUAAAUUUUAGGACAUCUUUAAAUUAUUUUGCAUUCUCUUUUUAAAUUUUAAUUGUCAAUGUCAUUUCACUGUGUAUUUAAAUAGUUAAACAUGUAAAAAUGUAGUAGUUAAACAGUUAAACGGACACAUGUCAUUCAGAAUUGUAUUUCUGUGAUUUUUGCAUUUUCUGGACAAAAAAAAAAGAAAGAAAGAAAAUUGCAUGUUUGUGAUUGGUACAGAUUUUAACACAUUUGUGAAUGUCAGUUGGCAUUAAAAAUCAUUUUUAACAGUCUAAAUAACCUGUAUUCUUCAUUAUGUAUUAAUCCAUGAUUGUCUUGUUAAGCAUGGGCAAAAUUAUGAGAAUAACCCAGCAAGAAUAACCCAGAAACACAAAAAUGCAAACACAUAAAUGGUAAAAAUGACUAUAUCUUGGGUUUUCUCAACAACCCAGCCUGCUGGGUUAAAAUGUGUAAACCAGCAUGCUGGGUUACUUUAACCAAGCAUGUGUUCGGUCCAAUAUUUACCCAGCGCUGGGUUGCCAAUUGGGUUAUUUUUAACCCAGCCAUUUUUAGAGUGCAUAUAAAGCACUGUGCACUGUUAAAAAUUGCUGUUAAUUUACGGCAGAAUUUCAACAGUAUAAUCCUGUUAUGUUCAAAAGCAGUACAUUACUGUUUUUUUCGUUUUUGUGAAAUGACGUAGACACAAUAUAACGGCAUUCUACUGUAUUUAUAACUCGAAGGAAAUAAAACAUUACUAUCCAGUAUUUUUGUAAACUGCAGUGAGCACGCCGGGACUUUCAUCCGUCUUGUUAACAGGCAAGUUCCCCUUUGCUUUGCGCGAUUUCAUAGACAAAAUACAUUACAUUUGCUACUGCAACUAAUCUGUAUAGUGGAUAUCGGAAGUGACACUAUCUUUUAUUUGCUCUUUUCAGUGAUAAACGCGCCAAAUGCGACAUCAUCGAGUGCAACUGGAUUUCUGACUCUGUGACUCGGAUUAUAUUAUUCCCAAUUACAGGGUUCAGGUGAAACACCACGAAGAAGAAUCCAGCACUGGAUGAUCAGCCUUGAGGAGCACAUCAUUUGUGAGGGCAUCCAGCCGGCUUUUCUGUCUGGGCUUGCAGCUGAUUUUUCUACUUACAACAAUUUCAAUCUUCAAUACCAAGCUGAAGACGCAUGCACGUUGGAAUUUAUUCAAAGGUGGUUCAUCGAGAUAAAUCCGGAAAAGGGACCAGGGCUGGAGGAGUCAUAUCAAAGCUG